Molecule: ribosomal RNA, 253 nt
Filed under: uncultured bacterium
Lineage: Bacteria
Description: partial 16S ribosomal RNA
Rfam family: Bacterial small subunit ribosomal RNA
Source: RNAcentral
GACGAACCGUCCUAACGUUGUUCGGAAUCACUGGGCUUAAAGGGCGCGUAGGCGGGUCAGCAAGUCCGGGGUGAAAUCUUUCGGCUUAACCGGAAAAGUGCCUUGGAUACUGCUGGUCUAGAGGGGGGUAGGGGCAUGUGGAACUUCCGGUGGAGCGGUGAAAUGCGUUGAUAUCGGAAGGAACGCCGGUGGCGAAAGCGACGUGCUGGAUCUCUUCUGACGCUGAGGCGCGAAAGCCAGGGGAGCAAACGGG